GGAGGGGCCAUGGCUCAGAGGUAGAGCCUCCGCUUGGCAUGCAGAAGGCCCCAGGUUCAAUUCCUGGCCUCUCCA
Sphaerodactylus townsendi is the source of this 75-nucleotide non-coding RNA. NCBI's taxonomy places the organism in Eukaryota, Metazoa, Chordata, Lepidosauria, Squamata, Sphaerodactylidae. The record is from the annotation of a RefSeq genome assembly.